This 474-nucleotide ribosomal RNA is filed under the name Triticum aestivum (bread wheat). RNAcentral describes it as "partial small subunit ribosomal RNA". The record is from RNAcentral. Lineage: Eukaryota; Viridiplantae; Streptophyta; Magnoliopsida; Poales; Poaceae.
AUGAAUUGCCUAAGUUGGAACUGCCGGGGAGGGGGGAACACCCGGACAGUUCGUGAGUUAGCGACGUUGUGUAAGUCGCGUUCCCCCAUGCUUGUUUUUCUGUGUGAAACUAGACAAAAGGAGGAGAAGAUGAAAAGGAUCCGGGCCAAACUGGAUCUGAAGGGUUUUUGUGGAGUGGACAGCAAUGGUCUUAGUGGUGGUUUGGCGCUAUACUGGAGGGAAGAAUGUGUGGUAGAAAUUUUGGACAAAGAUGACGGAUUCAUUGAUACAGUUAUCAAAGUCCGAGAAGGAGCGACGAAAUGGAGAGCCACUUUUGUGUACGGGGAGCCACGGGUGGAGAAUAGGCACUUAAUGUGGACUAAGUUACGGAGCCCGAAAGCUGUCAAUAAUUUGCCAUGGCUGGUAAUUGGUGAUUUUAAUGAAGCUAUGUGGGACUUUGAACACUUCUCGAUCACGCCUCGGGCGGAAGUGUAG